AGCUCUAACCACGUUAAUCUUUAGUUGCCUGUACCCGAAACCGACACAGGUAGGGGGGUAGAGAAUACCAAGGGGCGCGAGAUAACUCUCUCUAAGGAACUCGGCAAAAUGACCCCGUAACUUCGGGAGAAGGGGUACCACUGAGAAGUGGUCGCAGUGAAGAGGCCCAGGCGACUGUUUACCAAAAACACAGGUCUCCGCCAAGUCGCAAGACGAAGUAUGGGGGCUGACGCCUGCCCAGUGCCGGAAGGUUAAGGAAGUGGGUUAGGGAUUCGUCCCGAAGCUGACGACUGAAGCCCCGGUGAACGGCGGCCGUAACUAUAACGGUCCUAAGGUAGCGAAAUUCCUUGUCGGGUAAGUUCCGACCCGCACGAAAGGCGUAACGAUCUGGGCGCUGUCUCGGAGAGAGGCUCGGCGAAAUAGGAAUGUCUGUGAAGAUACGGACUACCUGCACCUGGACAGAAAGACCCUAUGAAGCUUUACUGUAGCUUGGAAUUGGGUUCGGUCUUGGUUUGCGCAGGAUAGGUGGGAGGCGAAGAAGAUUUGCUUGUGGGUGAAUCUGAGCCAACGGUGAGAUACCACUCUAACCAGGCUAGAAUUCUAACUUCAACCCGUCAACCGGGGGAAGGACAGUUUCAGGUGGGCAGUUUGACUGGGGCGGUCGCCUCCUAAAAGAUAACGGAGGCGCACAAAGGUUCCCUCAGGCUGGUUGGAAAUCAGCCAACGAGCGCAAAGGCAGAAGGGAGCUUGACUGCGAGACCUACAAGUCAAGCAGGGUGGAAACACGGUCUUAGUGAUCCGACGGCACCGAGUGGAAGGGCCGUCGCUCAACGGAUAAAAGUUACUCUAGGAUAACAGGCUGAUCUCCCCCAAGAGUUCACAUCGACGGGGAGGUUUGGCACCUCGAUGUCGGCUCAUCGCAACCUGGGGCGGAAGUACGUCCCAAGGGUUGGGCUGUUCGCCCAUUAAAGCGGUACGUGAGCUGGGUUCAGAACGUCGUGAGACAGUUCGGUCCAUAUCCGGUGUAGGCGCAAGAACAUUGAGAGGAGUCUUCCUUAGUACGAGAGGACCGGGAAGAACGCACCGCUGGUGUACCUGUUAUCGUGCCAACGGUAAACGCAGGGUAGCCAAGUGCGGAGUGGAUAACCGCUGAAAGCAUCUAAGUGGGAAGCCCACCUCAAGAUGAGUGCUCUCAUGGAGUAAUCCAGUAAGGUCACGGGAAGACGACCCGUUGAUAGGCGGUAGGUGGAAGUUCAGCAAUGGAUGAAGCCGAGCCGUACUAACAGACCGAGGGCUUGACC
RNAcentral lists this ribosomal RNA (1301 nucleotides) under metagenome. RNAcentral's name for it is "bacterial LSU rRNA". It matches the Rfam family "Bacterial large subunit ribosomal RNA", at positions 1614 to 2925 of the family's 2925-position model. The record is from RNAcentral.